GGAAGCGUGGCCGAGCGGUUGAAGGCAACAGUCUUGAAAACUGUCAUGGGGCGACCCAUCAAGAGUUCGAAUCUCUUCGCUUCCUCAA
RNAcentral lists this transfer RNA (88 nucleotides) under Candidatus Moraniibacteriota bacterium. Its description in RNAcentral is "tRNA-Ser". It matches the Rfam family "tRNA". Rfam says of the family: Transfer RNA (tRNA) molecules are approximately 80 nucleotides in length. Their secondary structure includes four short double-helical elements and three loops (D, anti-codon, and T loops). Further hydrogen bonds mediate the characteristic L-shaped molecular structure. tRNAs have two regions of fundamental functional importance: the anti-codon, which is responsible for specific mRNA codon recognition, and the 3' end, to which the tRNAs corresponding amino acid is attached (by aminoacyl-tRNA synthetases). tRNAs cope with the degeneracy of the genetic code in two manners: having more than one tRNA (with a specific anti-codon) for a particular amino acid; and 'wobble' base-pairing, i.e. permitting non-standard base-pairing at the 3rd anti-codon position. Lineage: Bacteria; Candidatus Moraniibacteriota. The record is from RNAcentral.